This 84-nucleotide transfer RNA is filed under the name Halobacteriales archaeon QH_2_66_30. RNAcentral describes it as "tRNA-Ser". It matches the Rfam family "tRNA". Rfam says of the family: Transfer RNA (tRNA) molecules are approximately 80 nucleotides in length. Their secondary structure includes four short double-helical elements and three loops (D, anti-codon, and T loops). RNAcentral also lists the same sequence under 5 other names. Lineage: Archaea; Methanobacteriati; Methanobacteriota; Halobacteria; Halobacteriales. The record is from RNAcentral.
GGUGGGAUAGCGAAGUGGCCCAACGCGCCUGCCUUGAGAGCAGGUGUCCGAGAGGACCCCUGGGUUCAAAUCCCAGUCCCACCG